GGGCGAUUAGUUUAGUUGGUUUAGAACAUCUGCUUUACACGCAGAAGGUCACUGGUUCGAGCCCGGUAUCGCCCA
RNAcentral lists this transfer RNA (75 nucleotides) under Candidatus Uzinura diaspidicola str. ASNER. Its description in RNAcentral is "tRNA-Val (TAC) (tRNA-Val-TAC-1-1)". It matches the Rfam family "tRNA". Rfam says of the family: Transfer RNA (tRNA) molecules are approximately 80 nucleotides in length. Lineage: Bacteria; Pseudomonadati; Bacteroidota; Flavobacteriia; Flavobacteriales. The record is from Rfam by way of RNAcentral.